Spinacia oleracea (spinach) is the source of this 1021-nucleotide long non-coding RNA. RefSeq lists it as uncharacterized. The transcript is spliced from 3 exons. The record is from RefSeq and is a predicted model, not a curated record. Lineage: Eukaryota; Viridiplantae; Streptophyta; Magnoliopsida; Caryophyllales; Amaranthaceae.
UUAUAGAUAUUCCGGAAAGAGCCAUUCUUUUAUGGUCAUGACAAUCAUGACCAACUUGUAAAAAUUGCAAAGAUGCUUGUAUACAUGUGUGUGAUAGUAAACUAAUCGGUGAAUAAUAUUAGGCAGCUUCAAUUCAGCUUGAGGAUGUUAUCAACUUGAGGUCUUGAGGAACUUCCACGCAUUUUGCUAUUGAUGUCAGGGAUGCAGGAUUUUGGAGCAUUUGAGCUCUGAUGCUACCUUGCUCUUCUGUGAACAACGCAAUGACUUAUCAGUAUUGCUUGACAGAUACUCCCUCUGUCUGGUCACGUACUUCUCUCUCUUUCUCAUUCUCCCAUUAUACUCGCUAGCUACCAAAACUAUACCACAUUAGUAGCGUUAUCUUUAGCGUCCAUUAAUUGCAAGAUUAAGGUAUGCAAAUUCAUUAUUAAAAAUUUGAAAUGGUUAAGCAAGACAGCAGGUAAGAUAAGAAGUCAAACAUCUGAUUUGUUAAGAAUUUCUUGAUUAGUCUUUAUUUUCCAUCUUCUCAUAUUGUAAGUGCAUUUUCUGGUGUACAUCACGUUGAAACUUGCCAUAGUUGCCUAUUGUUUCACAAUGUUAAGACUCUCGUUUCUGCAUGAUAAUUCCUGUAGUAGAAAGUUCUUUGAUGCAUCAUUGAUCUUCUCUACAAAUUGUUAAGGGCAUAUUGCUUGAUUAAAUGCUUAUAAGUUUGUUUUUACAAAUUUGUUUCACAGGAAGCGAUUAAUGGAUUUAUGGUGGAAUUGAUGAUGUAACUCUUCUAGUUAACUCAUCCCCUAACAAAUGAUGGCGAAAAUCAAUUCCACAGUACUGUAAAUAGUUAAAUUCUAUUUAUGGGUGUUAUUUAUGGAGAAUAGUGUGAAUGUGUACUACAGGUUUUAGAGGAUAACAUUAGGUGUACGACAUGUUUUAGAUGAUAACAUUAUGGAGGCUAAUACCUAAAACUAAUAUAUUACUGUAUUAAGUUUUUUUUUUUGUAAAAUUAUUGGACUAUUUGCACCGCAUA